AAGUGAUUCAGUCGCCUCGGUAAAUGGAGGGUCAGAAAGCUAUUCAGCCUCCGUGAAAGAAGAAGGGUCAGAUCUCGAUUUUCAAGUACAAUACAAACGAAGUCAGGGAUCAGAUUCUAGCUGUUGGAGAGUCUUUCUCACAUGGGACAACCAGAUAGUUUCUCCGUGCUAAGGUUCUUCGAUCCGUCAAAGAUUGAAUAACAAAAAAACAAAGAACUUAGUCAGGCUCUAUAGUGGAAAUUUAUUCUACAAAGAACAAAUUUCUUGCCAAGAGCAAAUGAGAGGUCAUGUAUCUAUCAGCUGCACAUAGCAACAUUUUCAGAGUCGAUUUUCUAGCCAAGGGCAUAUGAGUGGUCAGCAAUCACGUGGCAAUUCAUAUCUCAAUUAAUUUGGAGACAGGAACAUUGAUUUGUAUUCUUCGUUAACUCAUUAUCCGUCAAGAUUAAAAGUAGAAAAUAUCAGCAACCAGUCAGAUUUUGGAUCUGUGAAAUUGUGGUUCAAUAGCCAAGAGAAAAUGAGGGGUUUUGUUAACUGCUUCAUGGAGAUAUCUUUGAGGUCCAAAGAACAAAAAUUUCGAAGGUAAAACAUGUGGGAGGUCAGAUAUCUUUCUCUUUACUCUCAUGUCAAUUGUGUCAUGCAUAGCUAUCUUGGCUUUAUUUUGGUUACUCACAAUAUCUGGAAACACACACUUUCAAAAACACGGAAAACACUCAAACUCAAAACACAAAACACACCCAAAGACAACAAAACUCAAACAUAAACACACAAAACUCAAACUCUACAAAAAAAAAAUCACAUCACACGCAACAAAACUGUAAACGUACUCAAACGAAACAAAUCUCAUAAUCAACAUAACAUAAGAAAUAAAAUACAGCACAACACAAAACUAGAGACAUGAAAGAACAAAAAAAAACAAUCAAUAUCUUUUUUUCUUUAUAGUUAAAAACUUUGUGAUUCUGUUGCUAAGUCAAUUUCAGGGGAAGUUUCUUUCUCUUUUUUUUUAGUCUUUUACAACUAUUAAUCAUUUUUUG
This is an RNA transcript of Arabidopsis thaliana (thale cress), 1031 nucleotides long. RefSeq lists it as uncharacterized. Lineage: Eukaryota; Viridiplantae; Streptophyta; Magnoliopsida; Brassicales; Brassicaceae. The transcript is spliced from 8 exons. The record is from RefSeq.